GGGGCUCCCUCUGCCCUGGAGUCCUGGCUCUUGAGCCCGCCCUCCUUAGGGACCUGGAGGCAGGACUGUCACAGCAGGGCCUCGCUCUCACACUACACCUGCAGGAGGUGCAGCAGCAGAAGCUUCCCUGAGGCCUAGAUCUGGGUGGGGAGGCCGCCUUUCCAGCCAGAGGGCAGUGGUGCCCAGGCCUCUCUCCCAGCAAGCCCCCCCCGCCCCCCUGCGGCCCCUGGGCUUUUCCUUGGAAUCGGCUCUGGCUUCCAGUAAAAUAAACACAUUAACCACUUGGCUGGCCCAGGCUGUAGGCAGAGGCAGAGCCAGCUGCAGAGGCCAGCGCCCGCCCAGCUCAGCCUGCUGCGCCUGCACUCCCCACCCGGGGCUGGUGCUGGCACGGCUCGGGGUGAGCAUGUGGGUGGGAUUGGGGUGCUGUGGGGGAGGAGAGUUUGGGGGGGACGGGGCAGGCUCUGGCCUGGGCCUGGUGGGUGACCACCUGGAGGCCCAGGCUGGCUGCCACCACUCCGGCCAAGGUCAGUCACGAGGGGGUCACCCCAGCUCCCUCCUCCUUAUCCCACAGCCGCCCCCCCUCGGGGGGGCAAGGAACAGCAGCCUGGCUGGGGUGGGGGGAGGCCCGGCGUCUCUCCAGAGGGCUGGGUGUCCUCGCACCGUGUGGCAGCCGCCCCCAGAGGGAUGAUUCAAAGCAGCCUCGGAGGCUCUGCCGACUGGUCCCGGAAAGCCAGCGCCGUCACCCCGGCUGCCUCCUGUGGGCACAGUCCUCCAUCCAGGCCCCACUCGAAAGGAAAACUGGCUCCACUUUGGGAAUGCCCCGGAGGACACAGACCCUGGACCCUGAGAGGAAGGGGAGGGGUGGCAGGUGCCAGACUAGGAUUGCUGUCUGGGCCACGACCCCCGGUCCCCUGGCAAGGGCACCGCUGGUCCUUCCUUCCACCCCAGCCCAGAAGUCUCCAGGCAGUGCCCCUUCCAGGCGACGCCUGCAGUCCUGCUGCCUGCCGACCCCGAAGCGGGAAGCAGCGCCGGAGGGCGAAGCAAAGGCCACGUGCUUGCUUUUAGAAAAGUACCCGCGUGGCCUGGGAGCGACAGAGGCCCACGCCCCCGGGGGUCAGUUGAGGUUAUGUUCACAUAACACGCACUUAGUAUGUAAAGUGUGCAAUUCAGUGGCGUCUGUGCACUCCCAGUAUUGUGCAAACACCAGCCCUCGCUCGUCUCAGAACUUCUUCACCACCCCGUAAAGACCCUCCCCGGAUCCGAGACGUCGUCGCGCCCCGUUUCUCGCUCCCGAAUCCUCCGGGAAUGGCUGACCCGCGCCGCCCCCGUGGACCCGCCUCGUCCGGGUCCGCCACGUGAAAAGCACCCGGGGAGGGGGGCCGGCGGCCUUUGUGUCUGGCUGCUUUCACGCUGCAGUGUCCUCAGGUCCACGCACGUUGCCUCUGCCCCUUCACUCCCUUUAGGGGUGAACGCCAGCCCACAGUUGGAGGUCCAGUUCUCCGUGGACAUUGGGGUCAUUUCCCCCUUUUGGAGAUUGUCAGUAACGUGUCUAUGAACAGGAAAGGUUUUUAGUUUUG
This 1577-nucleotide long non-coding RNA is filed under the name Sus scrofa (pig). RNAcentral's name for it is "lncRNA (ENSSSCG00005004627.1)". Lineage: Eukaryota; Metazoa; Chordata; Mammalia; Artiodactyla; Suidae. The record is from RNAcentral.